AAGUCGUAACAAGGUUUCCGUAGGUGAACCUGCGGAAGGAUCAUUAUUGAAAACUCUGAACGCUUGUGGCUUCACUUCUGUUGCUGACUCCUCGAGUAUGUGCACGUUUGAAGUCGCUCGCCUCUUCUUUGUCCACCUGUGCACCUUUUGUAGAUCUGGUUGGGAAAAGCUCACUUCAACCUUCUGGGGGGGUUAAGUGGAUUUUGAAGGGUUUGCUUGCGCUCCCGUUUGCUCCUCCAGGUCUAUGCUUCAUAUCAUCUCUUGUAUGUUUAGAAUGUCUUGUUUAUGGGACUUCACCGUCCUUUAAAAAUCUUAAUACAA
This 321-nucleotide unclassified non-coding RNA is filed under the name plant metagenome. Its description in RNAcentral is "partial contains small subunit ribosomal RNA and internal transcribed spacer 1". The stretch from base 1 to 46 matches the Rfam family "Eukaryotic small subunit ribosomal RNA", at positions 1786 to 1831 of the family's 1831-position model. The record is from RNAcentral.